Pelobates cultripes (western spadefoot toad) is the source of this 1264-nucleotide non-coding RNA. NCBI's taxonomy places the organism in Eukaryota, Metazoa, Chordata, Amphibia, Anura, Pelobatidae. The record is from the annotation of a GenBank genome assembly.
AUUACUCAAUGCUUUCCUAUGGACGUCCAGCGGAAUCGCGGAAGCACCUCUAGCGGCUGUCAGUGAGACAGCUUCUAGAGGCUGGCUUAACCCUCAGUGAAACAUAGCAGUUUCUCUGAAACUGCUAUGUUGUCAGCUGCAGGGUUAAAACUAGGGGGACCUGGCACCCAGACCACUUCAUUGAGCUGAAGUGAUCUGAGUGCCUAUAGUGGUCCUUUAAGUGUAUCUGCAUGCACUGGCGGCACACUGCGGUCACAGGGGUCGCACCCCUGCGAACAGGUGCCCGCCGCCAUGUGUAUCGGCAAUUGUCGCUCUGGGGCCCCAUGGAUCUUGUGUACGCCACUGUGUGUCAUAAUCUGUGUUAGUGUGUCAUUAUGUGUGUUGGUGUGUGUCAUCAUGUGUGCUAGUGUGUGUGUCACCUUGUCAGUGUGUGUCAUUAUGUGUAAUACCCCUCUUGUGUGCAGUUAUACAUAUAUACAACAUAGUCUGAAUUGCAUGCAUAAUCGUUAUAAAUAUAUUUCUUGUGAGUAUGUGGAUGCACAAAUGACUCUCCCUUUAUCACGUUGUUGCAAUGCAAGCAACCUAAGCAAGGAAAUGUGCCUUUCUUAGAUUCAGAGAAGAACCUAGCCAGUUCCUUGCAACUGCCUAUGUCAGAUUUUACCAGAAUUUCCCUUACAUUUUUCUCUAGGCCUCCCCCCCAACACACAAAAACAUUAUCUAUAAACCGCUUCCAUAUUAAGCAUUUCGAAAAAAAGUUCAAGGUUGUAUAUAUGAGAUUCCUCUAAGCUUCAGUUAAUAUUCACCAUGCUUAGUGUUCUUGGUUCUACUCCCAUGGAUCCCAGAUUUUUUUAAACAUGGACAUUGUGUUUCUGAUCUUGGCUGUCAAUUUGUCCAUUAAGUAAGUAUCUUUUAUUUUUGAGUAACAUGAACUAGUGGGGGCUCUUUUGGUUUAAGUCAUGAUUGACCUAAUGUUAUACAUGCUGCCAGAGCUAAAAUGUGUAAAAGCCUCUACUUCUUUGUAAGCAUUCUCUCAAUGGGUGACAGCUCUCUUAAGGUCCCCUCCACAGCACGUCAAUUGGGUUGAGGUCUGGACUACGACUGGGCCAUUGCAAUACCUUUAUUCUUUUCUUUUUCAGCCAUUUAGUUGUAGAUUUUCUGGUGUGCUUAGGAUCAUUGUCCUGUUGCAUGAAACAAUUUCGGCCAAGCUGAAGCUAUCGGACAGAUGCCCUCACAUUUUACCGUAGAAUACUUUGGUAAACAGAAG